UUCUGGGUAGGGAAAGGGCUGAAAGAGAGGAUAGAGGUAGGAAAAGGGUAGAGGGGUCUCAGAGGUAGGAAAGGGGGAGAACUCUGUGGCCCCUCUGCCCCUAUUCUACCUCUGAGACCCCUCUACCCUUUUCCUAGCUCUGUGGCCCCUCUGCCCCUAUUCUUCCUCUGA
RNAcentral lists this microRNA precursor (171 nucleotides) under Podarcis lilfordi (Lilford's wall lizard). The record is from RNAcentral. Lineage: Eukaryota; Metazoa; Chordata; Lepidosauria; Squamata; Lacertidae.